GUGAAUCAUCGAAUUUUUGAACGCAAAUUGCACUCUCCUCUAAUAGUAUGCCUAUUUGUGUUUCAGCCUAUAAAAAUCGACAACGUUACUGUUUCGCGGUGGCGUUCGUCGGAAAGUACGUCAUCUUAAAUCCUUUUUAUUUAAUCGGCUUAAAAUGUUCGUUUGGUUCCAUUAACGUUUCUUAGAUCUAUUUCUUUACACGUUUAAGGUAUCGAUUUUUACUAAGCGUGACCUUCA
RNAcentral lists this unclassified non-coding RNA (237 nucleotides) under Glomus sp. RNAcentral's name for it is "partial internal transcribed spacer 2". Lineage: Eukaryota; Fungi; Glomeromycota; Glomeromycetes; Glomerales; Glomeraceae. The record is from RNAcentral.